This 424-nucleotide ribosomal RNA is filed under the name Verrucomicrobiota bacterium. RNAcentral's name for it is "Verrucomicrobia bacterium partial 16S ribosomal RNA". It matches the Rfam family "Bacterial small subunit ribosomal RNA", at positions 355 to 776 of the family's 1533-position model. Lineage: Bacteria; Pseudomonadati; Verrucomicrobiota. The record is from RNAcentral. RNAcentral also lists the same sequence under 1 other name.
UGAGGAAUAUUGGUCAAUGGGCGCUAGCCUGAACCAGCCAAGUAGCGUGCAGGACGACGGCCCUAUGGGUUGUAAACUGCUUUUAUGCGGGGAUAAAGUCACCCACGUGUGGGUGUUUGCAGGUAUCGCAUGAAUAAGGACCGGCUAAUUCCGUGCCAGCAGCCGCGGUAAUACGGAAGGUCCGGGCGUUAUCCGGAUUUAUUGGGUUUAAAGGGAGUGUAGGCGGCCUGUUAAGCGUGUUGUGAAAUGUAGAUGCUCAACAUCUGAACUGCAGCGCGAACUGGCUGGCUUGAGUACACGCAACGUGGGCGGAAUUCAUGGUGUAGCGGUGAAAUGCUUAGAUAUCAUGAGGAACUCCUAUUGCGAAGGCAGCUCACGGGAGUGUCACUGACGCUUAAGCUCGAAGGUGCGGGUAUCAAACAGG